CCCACACGCAUGAGGAAAAACUGGAGGAUAAAAAAAGCAAAAUUCAAAUUGUCUCACUGUUAAGAUAGAGGGUUAGGGGUGUAUCCAGCCCUUCCUGUUCUUCUCCUAAACUUUGCUAGGGUCUCUUGGGAUCUCAGGGUGGUGGCCAUGAAGCUGGGGGCCGGUGGAGCCAGCUCUGCCCUCCCUGCUCCCUUCUUUGUCUCUGCCAACACAAGCAAGAGGCCUCUAGGCCGAGACCCACCCAAAUGCAGCCUCUUGUUCAGCCAGUGGAAGAACAGGCCCAGCUGGCCCCGACAGGUGCCCAGAGGAGCUUCGGUGCUCAGAUACCCUGGAGAUGGGGUGAGGUGGGUCAGAAACUGAAACUGAUAGGGUGGGGGUGAUGAGCAGGUGUGGUGUCCCUGGCUGGCCCAGGAGCUGACAGUUCCUUCCCAUCUGCCCUGAACCAGGGCUCAGCUGUCAGUUAGGACUCUGCCCGUGUGGCCAGUUGACCAUGUGAUGGACACCUUGGUCUGGCCACCCUGCCACGAAUGGAGUUGUCAUUUUGGCGCUGACUCCAUUAUCAGCUUUUCAGCUGGGCCUCCCAGGUCCUCAGCCCUCUCCACCUCACCUCCAAACCCUGCAGUAAAUCCUGCCAGUUCUCGCCUUUGUGCCCAUGAGAUUGCUCCUGCCUUUCCUUUCUAGUCCUGCCUGGAAAAUGCCCACUCCUCCUUUAAGAGCCACAUCAACAUUACCCGCUCCCUGCCAUCCCAGGGAGAGGUGGUGUCUGCAUCUUCGUCCCUCUUUUGUUGUUCCUCUGUUGACUUUGGGGCAAGUCUUGUCUCUUUAAGCCUCGGUUUCCUCAUUUGGAAAUGGGGGUAGGGAUAGUUGGACAAGGUUCCAUCUGUCUUGAUGUGGUUCUAAAUUCUUUUACUUGAGGACAAAUCAACUAGGGUAGAAGUGCAUUAUGAAAUAGAACUGAGCCAUGAGUGAGCUACUGGAAACCUCCACACUUUGCAAACACCCUGGCCCUUCUCUGAAGUUAGGGCAGACAAGCACUGUGUAAAUGUUUUACUUUAAUGACUGUGUACCAGUGAAUAUGUUGUGGCAAAUCAGAAUGGCAAGUUCAUAGUUCAACUUGCUAAUGGAUAUAGAAGAACCAAUUUUAAUUUCUCAGCUCCUUCACAAUGCAGUAUUCAGAGCAGCACUACAGCCCCAGACAACAGGCCGCCUGUAAAUUCAGAACCCUUUCAACAACUUCACAUUUCAUUAAAAAAUACAGGAUAAGUAACUCCACCCAACACUGCAUUUCAGUCAACAUUCAAUCUUGUUAUCCAGAUUAAAACAACUAGGGAAUUAAACCCAGCAAGUGCAUGAAGGGGCUGGUGAGGAAUAACGUGCUGUAUGAAUCUCGGGGUUAUCCUGAUGGGUGAGGGGCUGGGCUCUUCACAGUGACUGCUGUGCCCGCCACCCAGCCGUGGAUCCCCGGCCUGUGCUUCAGUUCUCACAGGGACCUUGGUGUUCCUGUUGUGAAUGGUAUCUCUUCUAAUAUCUAUUUUUUUAAAUCUAUAAAUGAAAUGAUCAUUUUAAAAUUCCCCCCUUAAAACAGAAGAGUUGGCGAGCCUCCCAACUUGCUUCCUUUUUGAAGGAGGGCAGCAGCAGGCAGGGGGUCAGGCUCACAGUGGAUUCUCUUGGGAUUCAGAUCUACUGUGUAUUUCAACCAAAAAGUGUGGGGAUAAUGUUCGCAGCCGUGUACUGGCCACCCUGCUUAAUGUUCUUAAUAUUACCAGUAAUGUGCAAGCGCUCUGGUGUGUCCUUAAAUGAUGGAUGUGUUUGAACUUUGCUGUGGAUAUUCUAGUAAUGUUUCCUAGUUUCACUGGGUAUUAAACUCUUCAAUUUUAGCAGAUACAGCCAAAUUGUUUUUAUUUGUUUUUGAGGAAGAUUAGGCCUGAGCUAACAUCUGCUGCCAAUCCUCCUCUUUUUGCUGAGGAAGACUGGCCCUGAGCUAACAUCGUGCCCAUCUUCCUCUACUUUACAUGUGGGACGCCUGCCACAGCAUGGCCUGACAAGCGGUGCAUAGGUCCUUGCCCGGGAUCUGAACCCUGGGCCACUGAAGCAGAACGUGUGAACUUAACCGCUGUGCCACCAGGCUGGCCCUGCCAAAUUAUUUUUAAAACGGUGUUAUCAAUUGGUACUCCCUGCAGAGAAUGAGUCCCUCUUGCUUCAUGUUGUCACUAACAUUCGGUAUGACAUAUUAAAAUUUUUUUCCAAUCUGGUGGGUGUGCAAUAGUAUCUCAUUGUGAUUUUAAUGUGCAUCUCCUUGAUUAGUAAUCAUAUCUUUUCAUGUCUUUGCUGGUCAUGGGUUUGAAUCCCUGCUCCAUCCUUAGGCUCUGUGACCUGGGGGAGAUAUAACUUGUGUGUGCCUCAGUUUCCUCACCUAUAAAGUUCCUCUCUAGAGAAACUGACCAGCUUCAAAGACCUAUAGACUUUAACAUUUGGAUAGAGGGGUCCUCCAAGAAACUGUUGGGUCCUUACCUACAAUCACAAAAGUUCCAUCAGUAUUUUAGCACCUCCCUUUCUUGUUCAAACUACCAUGUGCCAGGCCCUGCACCGGCUGGGGGCCGUGCAUACAGAGAUGAUCAGGGAGAGGCAGCCACUGCCUGUCUGUCCUCUUCCCAGCAUCCACAGUGAGGUCCACUCCUCUCUCCUGCUGCUUUCUCCUCCCUCAUUCUUUUGUUCUGUGGCUGCAUGAGAUACACGUGUCCAGUCUUUACUGCUGUAUGUGGGACCCGGAAGGAGUAGAGGUGAAUGCAAAUGUCUAACCCACCCACCGUGUCUAAUCAGAGGCCAGAGGGACACUCCCAAGGCACCAAGUGUGACUGUCCCUCCACAGCUCAACCCUUUCUGUGCUUCAUUUUGACCUUAGGGUCACGUCCAAACCCUGCAGCACAGCCUGCCUGGGCCCUGCUUACAUUUCCCCGCUCAUCUCCUGCCACCAACACUCUCCCACGGUCCGGUCACUCCAAACUCCUCCUGCCCCCUCCCACCUGAGUUCUUUCACGCUUUUGCUUACAUUUUCCUCCACAAGCACGUGCUCAAGGUGCAGCUUGGGAGCAACCUCUUUGGGGGCCCUGGGAAUUGACGUCUUUCUCCUCUUUUCUCCCACAGCACUUUUUCAUGCCUGCAUUAGAGCCCUGUAUCUUGACUAUGGGCCAGGUGCACUCCUUGCAGGGACCUAGUACCCUCUUGACCUUGCUGGGGCCUGCAGUGGGCCCUGAGGAGAUGCUUGUGUGAUGAAGGAAGAAUGGGCAGACAAGGGAGUGAGCAGUAAGGUAACGAUGUUGUUUGCUAUCCUGUGACCCUCACCAAGGCUGGGCUGGAUCGCAGGUUAACCUUAACUAGAAACAUUUAGGAUACUAAUUUUAAACCUCAGUCUGCUUACCAUUAGCAAUAUAAACAUUAUAAAUAAUACAGAUGGUUGCUGAUGCUCGUAGAGCUCUUCCCUGCGCCUCAGCUCCGGCUGAAGCCCAAUGACACAGUGACGCAGAAUGCGGAGACCUGCAGGACUGUUUCCAGAGACAGACUGAAGCGGUGGGUCCAGACACAUACAUUUGACACUUGGGGCACACCCUUUUUUGGGUACGAGUGAACAAGUGCCCUGCUGGCAACACACACACAGUCUUCCGGACUUCCACACCAAACACAACAGAGCCAUGAAAUCAUGUUGGCAAAGGUGGGGCAGAUCCCAGUGAGGGUGGUGCCAGGACUUCAGGCAUUAGUAAGAAAAGUGUUCGAGCCCAAACAACGGUAACAACAACCGGAAGCCUACCUUGGGAUCGUGGCCAGCAAUCACCCAGACACAAGCUGGCGGCAGAAGGAACGAUACUGGCUUGAAGAAAGGGCUGCAAGAAGCUUUGUGGGAGGGAACCCUCCUGCAUCAGGCAGAAACACAUUUAACAUACAUGUACUGAGCACCUGCCAUGUGCCAGACCCUGUGGUGGCACAGGAUGAAGUCGACCCACCCCAGCAGGACAUGCCCGGCUUCCUUAGACUUUCCUUGUAACUGUCAAGCAGAUUAAAACACAUGCCAUCUUCCCUUCCUGCUUAGAGAGCCACCUUGGGGCUCUGAAUGAGGAUCUGAAAGGUGGACAGAGUCAGAGUCAAAGGCAGCCGGGUGACUUCAAGGACGUGGCUCAUCCCCGACUCCUCCGUGACUGAGGAAGGCGGCGCUUCUGCAGCCAGUGGGGUGCUUUCUCCUGGACUGGGCUGGAGGGCCCACAGCAAAAACCAGAAGUUAGUGCUUAUUCUGCCAGGCUCUGUGCAGAACUCUCUUCCAAGGAUGCGGGUGAGAUGAUCUGAAGGGUCUAAAGUUCUGGUUGGGUUCCAAAGGAAGUGGCUCGGGGGUAAGCACCCUGGAAAGCCCCAUCGGAAGGCGUCUCACUGGGGCAUGACAGGUUGGCUCUUUGUGUGAAAUGGAUUUCCCUCCAGCCUGGAACUGGUGUUGGUUCUUCUCUCAGCACCGGAUUGGGUGGGUAACUUGAUUUUAGGGGCCAAGUUGUAUGAAAAACAAGGCUGUUUGCUCAUUGGAAUCACAUGAGGGCAUGGCUGAUGAGGACCAGGGCAUAUGCGCAUAGCAGUGGGCACAAUUCCUGCAUAGUUAGAUGGCUGUGUGUGCAUGUGUGGACUUCAGUACAUGACAUGCAUCAAUGACUCGAGUCCACCGUGAAUGACAAACUUCUCUACUCUGUUGAUGGACCCUGGUACCAAAAAACCUGGGCUCACAUUGAGGCUCUGUCACAUAGUUGUCUUGUGAGAAUUUCUCCUCAUCAGUCAAAUGGGAAUAAUGAUACCUACUUCCUGCAAUUAUUUUGGGGAUUAAAUUAGAUGAGGUAUGAGAAAAACCCUGUACAUAAUAAGAACUCAAGAAGUGGGAGUUGAUUUUGAAUUGUUAAUGUGCCAGCCUUGGUUUGGUCUGAGGUUCAUCCUAGUUUCAGAAGCAACCCAAUUACAAACAACCUCUUAGGAGGGGCUAUCGUUUCUCAUCAUGAAGGAAGUUGUUCCUGUGAACAAGCCUCUGUAACAAGGUGGGGUUUUCCCAAAGGGAGUGAAAAGCCACCUGGAUUAGGAAAUGGAGCUGAGCUCGGGACUAGGAAAGGAAGGUAUGGCUUCUGCUCUGGGGAUCCGAGGAGGGAAUUCUGGGCAAGGGCUGGCUCUUGGCCUUAGGGGAAAGGAUGGCAUGUGCAUGGGCCAAAAGAACUGUCGGGGUCCCAGGGAAAUUGUGUGGGGUGUGAGUGGGCCCCAGGCUGAGCACAGCCUGGUGGAGUGUGGCCUGCUGGAGUGGUGCCUUUGCCACAUCCUGAGGAAUCACUGCUCAGAGAGAGCUGUGACGACAGAGCCUCACUUAGCAGCCCUGAACAGUUCUAAAGUCUGCAGCACGCUGUGUCCCACUUCUGCAAUAGCUUUGGCAAAUGGGUCCUCCCACCAUUCACAGGCUGUGAGGGUUUCAGUGACAGUGGUGAGGCAGCGGAGGAAAUGAGACUGGCAGGACAGCAGCCUGGAGGACGGCCACCUACCCGCGUGUGGAUGCUGCUGUUUCUGUCUGCCCAGCAUUCCUUCCUCCCCCUUUCCUCCUGGUGUCAGUACCUUUGUUCCUUUAGAGCAUGCUCCUUACCCAUCCUAACCUGUGACUCUGGCUGUGGUGAUUGGUUCAGGAUAGGAUCAGACUGAAAUUGGACCAAUCAGACUCCUUCCCUGGGAUUUUUCUAACUUAAGAGUUGGUGGGAAAUAGUUUACUUUCCUUUCUAGACUCAAGGUUAUGAGGAUGUGAGCCUGGAGCUAUCGAGGCCAUAAGUCUGGUGUCACAGGGAAUGAAGCCACCAGGGAGAAUCAGAGAUGAGAGAUGGACUAUGAGAAGCUUUCAAAAUCCAGGCAUGGAAGCCAAGCUCCUUCCCCUACACCUCCCAUGGUUUAGCUGCGGGGGCCAAUAAUCCUUUUUUCAUUUAGGCUACUGAGACUUGGGUUCCUACUACUUAGAACCAAAGGAGUUCUGACUCCCACACCAGGUAAGCAUCCUUCGGCAUUCCUAGGAAUUUGUUGUUGAGUAGGUGGGGGAAGACCUCAAAGAAGAAUGAAUUUCCUUUCUUAGGUAGAGUUCAGAGUGUCUUACAAAUUGAAGAGAUGGAACCUUAUUUGCUAGUGAGGCAGGACUCCUGGGUCAUAUAAGAAAAGGACCUAAUUAAUGCUAUUUACAUUCAGUGGCGGACACUCUUGGUUGUCUGUUCAGUCAUUUCCAACAGCCUCUCCCACUAUGAAGCCUGGAAAGCUGAACCAACACUGUACUUGCUUUCCAGCCUCUAAGAAGUCACAGGGGCACGUGACCCACUCCUGGCCAGUAAGACAUAAGCAGACGUCUGUUAGUGGUGGGAGUGGGGAUGGAGGGGUGUGGUUUCAUGAUUUGGUAUUUUUUCUUUUAAGUGGCCUUAAAGAAUUUUUGGAAGUUGGCGGAGAUAUAAAAAUAAUGAAAAAGUUAAAAAUGGGUUUUUUAUCAUAAAAAUGUCUUUCUUUCCUUUCUGGAUUAAAAUAAAGAAAGUAUUUCAAACAUUCCAAAAUAAUUUAUAAGGUAGAUGAAAGAAUAGAGAAUAGUCAUCGCUAAAGGCCUGAGGUUCCUUCUAAGAGGAAAGAGAUUUCAUUCAACACACACUGAUCUAGGUCUGGAGAUUCAAGGAUCCACAAGACCCAGUUCCUGGUCUCGGGAGCUCACCACUGGGGAGACGGACAAGAAUAGGUAACUGUAUACCCUGACAUAAGUGUAAUGAUAAAAAUAGGCUCAGGGUGUUAUGGGAGCACAGUGAUGGGCCAGAGAAGGCUUCCGAUGGCAAAUGACACCUGAGCUGAGUCUAAGGAAGAGUCGGGUCAGGGUGGAGGGAGGUCAUGUGGGAUGGAGGGGACUGCAAGUGCAAAGGUGUAAAAGGUGAGAGGCAGUGUGGCAAGAACACGGCGUGGAGCUGUGCAGGCAGAGGGCCUACGGAAGAGGCAGGGCUGCAUCUAGAAGGCUUGGGAGGAUGGUCUCUAUCCCACAGCAGAGAGCACGGAGCAGGGAAGGCCAUUCAGAGAUCCGUGUCCCAGGGAGAUCUUGGUGGCUUGGUGGAAUUGGCAUUUGACAGUCACAGCCUGGGCACAGGGAGACAAUUGGAAAGCUGCUGCAGGGUCUAGGUGGAGAAGGGGAGAGUUUGGUGAAGAGGUGCCGGGCGUAUGAGUCACUUACAUCACAUGUGUGCGCUGGUGCAAGCCGAGUCUGGCUUCUCCAGGUCCUCGUUCACAAACAGACCUCCCGAUCAAUGAUUCUUGACCUCUCAAAGCAUCUGCUCACAUGACUAUUCACUUGCUCCUGGAAGUUUUUUGCUAUUUUCAUAGCAAUGGAUAUCAAAAUUAAUGCUAAUCAAAGUGUUUCAUUAGCUUUUGACUUUCGGUGAGCAGAAAAGAGGCACCGUUUAAGCAAGAACCUUUUGUUCUGUCAGCUAAUAUCAAGUAGGGAGCUUCUUUAAAAAGAAACCCUGAUUAUACAAUCAUGAAUAAUCAUGAUGAAGAUGAAAAGAGAGAAGCAGUAGUGGAGACCAGCGUGCUAAGCCGAGUUCCCUGUUGAGCUAAUUUUUUGAGAGCCUGGACAAAACAGAUGGAGGAAAGCAUAAUCAGAGAGGGCUCCUGGAAAAUGACACAAUCCUGAAAACCAAUGUCAGGAAGACUGUGCUGUGGUUGGCCAGAAAUCCUAAGGAAAACGAAAAAAAGGUCUUUAAAGUCAUUCUUGGAGCAAGAACAAAGAAGGGAUAGAUCCACUGCUCAGGGGACAGUACAAAGUAGAGUGAUACUGAGAGAAGGCAGAAAUACCUUCAGAGACAGAAGAGCUGCUGCCACACACUGUGGUUUCAGCACAGUACAGGCCAUUGCUCCUGAUAAGCUCAGCCCCUAGGAGGACCUGGGACGGGGACUCUGGAAACUACAGUGAUGCAGAUGGGGGCAGGGGAAGAAUCAGUCAUGGUACACUCUCAUAUUUCCACGUGGAAGACUUCAGCUUCAAGAACCACAAGGAAUUCUCAACCUUUUGGCAGUAUCAGCUUCCUGUGGCUGCUGUAACAAGUGAUCACAAACUGAGGGGCUUAAAACAAUAGAAACUUAUUCUCUCCCAGUUCUGGAAGCCAGGAGUCCAAGAUCAAGGUGUUGGCAGGACCUGGCUCCCUCCAAAGACUCUCGUGGAGGAUCCUUCCUGGCCUCUUCCAGCUUCCGGUGGCUACAGGUGUUCCCUGGCUUGUGGAGGCAUUACCCCAAUAUCUGCCUCCUCUACAUGGCCUCCUCCUCUGUCUGCGUGUCUCUCCUCUGUGUGUCUCUUUAAGGACACCUGUCAUUGGAUUUAGGGUCCACCUGGCUAAUCCAGGAUGAUCUCAUCUUGAGAUCCUUAAUUACAUCUGCAAAGAUCCUUUUUCCAAAUAAGGUCACAUUCACAGGUUUCAGGGAUUAGGCUGUGGGCAUAUUUUUGGAGGGUCACCAAUCCAUUACAGGAUCAUAAACCACUUUGAGAAUCUGAUGAGAGCUAAUGAACCAUGAAUUGUGUCAAGUUCCUGGAAGCAGAGUCUGAGACAGGGGUUCUUGUACAAGUGAUUUAUGGAGGAAGUGUUCUAGGGAAAAAGGGAGUGAGGGAAGCAGGCUGGGGCAGGGGAGAAAAGCUAAGCAAGAAGUGGUCUCAUCAGGAGAUGAGCUUAGCUUGAUCUCAUGAGAUGCCUGGAGCAUGAAUUGCAAGAGAGAGUUGCUCCCACCUCGAGGCAGGAGGGCAGCCUUUGUACCCCCAAGCCAGUCAAUGUCCCCCGGUGGGGGGCAGGUAUAGCCUCUCUGCUAGGGGCUUCCUUUUGGCCAAGGAAAAUUCAUCCAAGAAGGGGGCAGCUGUUAGUUAUCAGCCAACACACACAGCAGCCCUGAGGGGGUGACUCACAAUAUCUACAGCAGACUUUCUAGAGAAAUCACACACACACACACAUCACAUUCAAUUUCAGGGACUUCACAGAUCCUCAGAAGCCCUGGAGUGAAGGUUAAGGACCUAUGACUGCUGGCCUAACACUUGUGGUCCCUCAUCCCACCUUGCACCUUUCCCUCCUCUCUUAGAAGAAAUGAUUAGUAAUGUUUGGGAGGAGGAUUGAGCACCCUCAAAUCAAUCUUAUUUUGAUCGCCUACGUGCAGACAGCAUGCAUUCUGGGCUAUCCUCUGCCCUAAGGAGGGGCCGCCAUUGUCCCACCAGACAGGGUGGGUGAAAUGAACUCAGAAUCUGAAUUAAAAGGGGAGUCCCUUUGGCCACGUAUGUAUAACCCUUCUUUCUAAUCAGCUUUUCAGUAAGAAAGCUAAUAGCUUAAUCUCCACCUGUCCACGUCUUAUGUCUCUCAAGUAGUUCUGAACUCAGGCAGGGAAGAGAGAGGAUAUUUACAAACUUCCUAAGACCCCAAAAUCAUCUCAUAAAAGACAGUGCUGCUCCAACUAUGAUCUGUGGACUGGCCACCAAUUCACAAACUCUUUCCUGACUGCUUGCCCCAGGAUAUAAUCAACAUAAAGCUUGGUACAAAAAAAUAAGUCAGCUGAACUCAACAGUAUGCGCAGUGAUGGCGAUGACUUGCACUCUGUUGCAAGCUCACCUCGUUGCAGACCGGCACUUUGAGCAACACUGACAUAAGUAACUGGUGACAAACCUGGAUGGUUGAACCCAGACGGACUAAUAAGACAGGUGGAAAAUAUUUGAAGGGCUCUCAUCUGAAACAGGGAAGAUAGGACAAUGAGCAUAAGUUAAAAAGAGGCAAUAUUUGACCCAAAAUAAUGUAAUGGGAACACAAAUUAUUAAUGGCUAAGGGUUCAGAGCCUUCACCAUUGCCGCCAUGUUGCCAGCUUGGAUCCUGCAGGCUGGAUCAAGGCAAUGGAGAGGCAUGGCUUGGGCAAGCAAGGACUGCAUGGGGAGGGACCGAGAGGUACUUGUGGGGAAGAAUAGCACAGAAAGAAGGGGAGCUGGUUGAAAGAGAGGUCCUGUGGGCUACUCCUGGAUGUGCGUUCUUGGUUGGGAGUUGAGUGGGGGGUUGGUAUGUUUUGGAGGGCAGCUGCCAUUCAUGGGGGGAGAAAUUAAGCAGACGUGGAUCUACCAUGAAGGGUCCCUCACUUGCACAGGCCCCUUAGAAGGUCCUUCUGCAUGAAGCAGUGUGCUCAUGUUUUUGUAAAUUUUGAAACAUUAAGCUAUUUCACCACUUAACAAAUAGUUAAAAGACCACUGUCUCUUUCUGCUCCAUUUCCACGGCCACCCUUCUCUUCCUGUCAGAUGGCUACAUUUGGCUUGGGUUUAGUGGGCUGUGUUGAUGUGGUUCAGUCGCUUCUCUGUGUAGUCAAGGUGUCGCUAGCUUGCCCAGCGAGUCAAAGGUGCAGGGCCAGAGGUUUCAAGGAGAUGUGAAUGUGUCCUGCUGUGACUGCAGACAGAAGCAUGUGAGAAGUGGGGGAGAAGCAAGGUUUAAAAUACACAAAGCCAGGAGUCAGCUGGUGGAAAAUUCUUCCAGUUACCAGAGGUGUGAGAAGAAUUACAUGAAAUAGACUUGAUCGGAUUCCUGUGUCCUUUGCAAGAACCAGUAGCAAUACUGCAAAUGGCCAAAUAUAUCUGUGUUUCGUGAAGUCAUGUGUUUUCUAUAUCCCAGUCUACGGGAGUACAAAUUUGCGUAUCUGAUGCAUCUUAUCCUGAUGAAGUCUGGCAUGCAACACUGUCCCAGAAGCAGCGAAACAGCCUCAGAAACAAGUGUUCCUGUGACAAAGCUCCCACGCAUUUUCAUCAGUGAGUCAACGUAUGAAGCAUAAGAACAAUUUGAUUACAAUAAUGUGGCGCAACACAACAUACAGCUUGUUGUUCAAACACAUUUGAAUUGUUAUUUUUGUGUCCAUGUCAGAUUAGUUUUUUGUAUAUUCAUUCCAAAUUAUUGAUCACACCAAAAUUCACGUAUGAUGAGGAGGUAACAGUGGAAGCAAAACACAUAAAAGUGAGAGAAAGAAGAUGGACAGAAAGUUUAAAACAUUAAAAAUUAUCUCUAUAUCAUAAUGGACACUGAAAAUUCUUACUGUCAAAAUCAUGAAGAAAAAGAAUGAUAAUAGCCAAGAAAAACAGAUAAUGAAACUUAGCACAGCAGAUAAAGAAGAUUGUGAGACUCAGGAACACCCCCAGACAGGAAACCAGAAGCAGAAGGAAGAUGAUAUAAGAAAGAAAAAGUCUGUAUGUUCAACAGAUAUACACAAAGGUCAGCAGGAGCUACCUUUUGAUGAAUUUGUUGACUUCAAUAAAUAUCAUAAUGUUUCAUUACAGCCUGUUACAAUGAGCAAUCAUAUUUUUAAAUUUGGCAGUUAUACCUUUUAAUUUCCAAAAGCUCUUCCUUAUACCUAGGUUUUUGACCUAAGCGAUUAUGUGGGUGAUGGUGCUAUCAUUUAUGGAGAUGCAAAGGAUGGGGAAGAAAAAAUUUAGGAGUAUAAAUCAAGCGUUCUGUGUUGUUUUACACCUGGAAAAGGAACUGGUAGCAUAAUUGAAUUGUACAUCAUUUAUACACUCCUGGGUCGUCAAACAGUGCACUAUCUUUCUAUGCCUUUCAAUACCUUUUAUACUUCUACUGUCUUAAAGCUAUCUCUGGAAGACGUGAGCUGUGCUGCUUACACCCCCUUCAAGAAAGGACCAGCUGCCCAGAUGCAAGAAGUGUAGUGAGGGGCCGGCCCCAGGGCGAAGUGGUUAAGUUCAUGCGUUCCGCUUUGUGGGGUCCAGGGUUUUGCUGGUUCAGAUCCUGGGCACAGACAUGGCACUGCUCAUCAGGCCAUGUUGAGGCAGCAUCCCACAUGCCACAACUAGAAGGAUCCACAACUAAAAUAUACAACUAUGUACUGGGGGGAUUUGGGGAGAAAAAGCAAUACAAAAAAAUAAAUUAAAAAAAAAAAGGAAGUGUAGUGAGCUGGCAGGCUCCAGCUGUUAUCUCCUUCAGGGUCCAUCUCAGCUUUCAAACUGAGGUCAUGCUCUUUCAGGGGCAUCUCUCAGCCAUUGACUGACAGGGCAUGGUGGCUAAGAGCACUGUUUUCCAGGCGGUCCCUAGUCAUUGACCUAGCUGGCAGCAGCACAAGGGUCUAGCCAUCUCCCCCGAUGCAGGACUCCUCUAUCAAGCAGUCUUGGCUCUGGAGCUCCCUGUUGGGCUGGCAGAGACUUUGCCAGGUCUGCACUGUCUUCUGAUGAUGCCCUCUUUCCUUCACAGGUGUUAUUCUUCAAUAAACCUUUUGUACUCAUUACUCCAUCUCAGUAUCUGCUUCCUGGAGAACCGAAUCUGUGACACUAUCUAUAAAAGACCAAAAUACAAUCUCAGUUUUUAGCUCUGUGCCAUGUGUUAGUACGACCAAAGGAAAGAUUAACUUGGAGUAUACAUUAGUCAGUUAUUGACAUGAUCAUGCUGGGUAACAAACAAUCACAGAAGCUCAGAAGGAUACAACAAUAAGCAUUUAUUUCUUGCCCAGGCAUAUGAGUUAGUGGGGGCAGCUCUGCUUCAGGCUGCAGGUCUAUGGAGACAGCUGUGUUCCACAUGUCUCACUCUGGGACCUGGGCUGAAGUUAUCACAGGGAAGCUCUUUCCAUGGCAGAGUACUGGAGUGUAAGAGAGCAAGCCCAAAUGCCCAUGCACAAGCACAUUUCGAGCCUCUGCUCACAACACGUUCACUAGCAUUAACCAAAGCAAGUCACCUGGCCCAAUCUGAAAUGAAAGGGGUAAAGAAGAACUUGGCCAUCUUGAGGCCAUUGCAGAAGGUUUGGACGUAUAUGAGUACAACAGGGACCAAUAAUUCACCUACUGCCAGUAAUGGUUAUAUCAAGUUGGUAUAAGACUUGACAUAACCUUACAUAGUCAGCUCAUACUUUCAGGUUACAUAUCCAUUGUGUAAGACUGUUAAUGCUUACUUGCAGGGUUUUCUCAGGGUUUACGGCAUAUAUAGGGAGAUCUGGAUAACUGAAGAUUUCUGGGGGAGUCCUGAAGAUUACUCAGAUUAAAAUGUUUUCUGCAUGUGCAAAGGCAAAAAUCUAAUGCUCCUCUAUUAUCAAUGUCAUACAAAGACUGAGAAUGCUGCCUAGUUCACUGAAAUCUGACUGACAUUUUUGGUGGAAUAUAUACUGUGAAUCUGUAUUGCUGGUAAGUAGCUGCUUCAGAAUAUAUAUAUUUAAAUCACUUUAUUGAGGCG
RNAcentral lists this long non-coding RNA (13232 nucleotides) under Equus caballus (horse). Its description in RNAcentral is "lncRNA (ENSECAG00000056433.1)". Lineage: Eukaryota; Metazoa; Chordata; Mammalia; Perissodactyla; Equidae. The record is from RNAcentral.